This 253-nucleotide ribosomal RNA is filed under the name uncultured bacterium. Its description in RNAcentral is "partial 16S ribosomal RNA". It matches the Rfam family "Bacterial small subunit ribosomal RNA", at positions 524 to 776 of the family's 1533-position model. The record is from RNAcentral.
UACGGAGGGUGCAAGCGUUAUCCGGAUUUACUGGGUUUAAAGGGUGCGUAGGCGGCUUUUUAAGUCAGUGGUGAAAGCCUAGUGCUUAACACUAGAAUGGCCAUUGAUACUGGAAAGCUUGAGUCAAGGAGAGGUAAGCAGAAUUUAUAGUGUAGCAGUGAAAUGCUUAGAUACUAUAAGGAAUACCAAUAGCGAAGGCAGCUUACUGGCCUUGCACUGACGCUGAGGCACGAAAGCGUGGGGAGCAAACAGG